Molecule: ribosomal RNA, 498 nt
Filed under: uncultured bacterium
Lineage: Bacteria
Description: partial 16S ribosomal RNA
Rfam family: Bacterial small subunit ribosomal RNA
Source: RNAcentral
AUUGAACGCUGGCGGCAUGCCUUACACAUGCAAGUCGAACGGUAACAGGUCUUCGGAUGCUGACGAGUGGCGAACGGGUGAGUAAUACAUCGGAACGUGCCUAGUAGUGGGGGAUAACUACUCGAAAGAGUGGCUAAUACCGCAUGAGAUCUACGGAUGAAAGCAGGGGAUCGCAAGACCUUGUGCUACUAGAGCGGCCGAUGGCAGAUUAGGUAGUUGGUGGGAUAAAAGCUUACCAAGCCGACGAUCUGUAGCUGGUCUGAGAGGACGAUCAGCCACACUGGGACUGAGGCACGGCCCAGACUCCUACGGGAGGCAGCAGGGGGGCAUUUUGGACAAUGGGCGCAAGCCUGAUCCAGCAAUGCCGCGUGCAGGAUGAAGGCCUUCGGGUUGUAAACUGCUUUUGUACGGAACGAAAAGCCCUGGGUUAAUACCCUGGGGUCAUGACGGUACCGUAAGAAUAAGCACCGGCUAACUACGUGCCAGCCGCCGCCGUAA